Molecule: ribosomal RNA, 497 nt
Filed under: uncultured bacterium
Lineage: Bacteria
Description: partial 16S ribosomal RNA
Rfam family: Bacterial small subunit ribosomal RNA
Source: RNAcentral
GAUGAACGCUGGCGGCGUGCCUAAUAAAUGCAAGUCGAGCGAACGGACGAGAAGCUUGCUUCUCUGAUGUUAGCGGCGGACGGGUGAGUAACACGUGGAUAACCUACCUAUAAGACUGGGAUAACUUCGGGAAACCGGAGCUAAUACCGGAUAAUAUUUUGAACCGCAUGGUUCAAAAGUGAAAGACGGUCUUGCUGUCACUUAUAGAUGGAUCCGCGCUGCAUUAGCUAGUUGGUAAGGUAACGGCUUACCAAGGCAACGAUGCAUAGCCGACCUGAGAGGGUGAUCAGCCACACUGGAACUGAGACACGGUCCAGACUCCUACGGGAGGCAGCAGUAGGGAAUCUUCCGCAAUGGGCGAAAGCCUGACGGAGCAACGCCGCGUGAGUGAUGAAGGUCUUCGGAUCGUAAAACUCUGUUAUUAGGGAAGAACAUAUGUGUAAGUAACUGUGCACAUCUUGACGGUACCUAAACAGAAAGCCACGGCUAACUACGUG